AGCAUAUCAAUAAGCGGAGGAAAAGAAACCAACAGGGAUUGUCUUAGUAACGGCGAGUGAAGCGACAAAAGCUCAAAUUUGAAAUCUGGCACCUUCGGUGUCCGAGUUGUAAUUUGAAGAAGGUAACUUUGGAGUUGGCUCUUGUCUAUGUUCCUUGGAACAGGACGUCACAGAGGGUGAGAAUCCCGUGCGAUGAGAUGUCCAACUCUAUGUAAAGUGCUUUCGAAGAGUCGAGUUGUUUGGGAAUGCAGCUCUAAGUGGGUGGUAAAUUCCAUCUAAAGCUAAAUAUUGGCGAGAGACCGAUAGCGAACAAGUACAGUGAUGGAAAGAUGAAAAGAACUUUGAAAAGAGAGUGAAAAAGUACGUGAAAUUGUUGAAAGGGAAGGGUUUGAGAUCAGACUUGGUAUUUUGUAUGUCUUGCUUUCGGGUGGGGCCUCUGCAGUUUACUGGGCCAGCAUCGGUUUGGACGGUAGGAUAAUGACAUUGGAAUGUGGCACUACUUCGGUG
Molecule: ribosomal RNA, 507 nt
Filed under: Scheffersomyces shehatae
Lineage: Eukaryota; Fungi; Ascomycota; Pichiomycetes; Serinales; Debaryomycetaceae
Description: eukaryotic LSU rRNA
Rfam family: Eukaryotic large subunit ribosomal RNA
Source: RNAcentral